This 899-nucleotide long non-coding RNA is filed under the name Homo sapiens (human). RNAcentral describes it as "HSALNT0301961". Lineage: Eukaryota; Metazoa; Chordata; Mammalia; Primates; Hominidae. The record is from RNAcentral.
UUCAUUGCUUCAUUCUUUCAUUGCUUUGCUGUGCAUUCUGUCCAAUUCUUUGUUCAAAAUGCCAAGAACCUGGACAAUUUGCAGUCAAGACCCUCCACCGGUAACACAAUUUCCAAAUUGGACUUAACAUUUUCAUUUUUCCAGAGCAGAUUGGAGGUAGAGAAGAAAGAAGGCAUUUCCUUCUUUUCAAAGACACAUCCUCAAAGUUGCAUAUAUUAUUCUUUCUCGCUUUAUAUGUCAGAUGUUAGGUAUAUGGCUACACUUCCUGGAAGCUUCCUGAGAAUUGUAGCAUUUAAGCAGCCAGCAUUCUAAAAUUAGAGUUCUAGUUCUAUGGAGGAAGGGAGACUAUUGGAGUUCCUCUAAGUUUCUGCCAUGAGCAUUUUCAGGUUACGUUGUCUACAUGUUAUCUAAUACCAAAACCUCUGUUAGUAUCUUCUUUAUUAUAUAGAAAAUAGGGAAUUCUAUCAGGCCAUAAAUACAUGUUUGUUUUAAAAUAAAAAUUAAAGUUCUAUUACAUAAAGAUUCUGAAAGAAUAUCUACAAAAUGAAGUUCUGCAUUUGGGAUAUGAACUUCCAAUUAUAUCAUUGGACUUGACUACUCCAUUUCUUUCCACAUUUAAAAAUCAAUCAGGGAGAAGCUAUUUUGAGAACUUAACACAGUAUUUAACAUGGGAUUUCUGAAUGAAGACAGUUUAUGGAUGAAUAAGGCAAAGGAGUUACUGAAUGUCUGGACUUCAGCGAAUUAAGACACUGAGACUUUCUCGCUAUUGAAGCUACCUUGAAACAAUAAACACUAAAUACCUAGUUGGUUUGCCAAAAGCAUAAAAUGUUACUUUUCGUAUUUGAUUUUCUUUCCCAAAUCUAUAAUAUAAUCCAGAAUUUGUACACAUAUUUUUUUCC